RNAcentral lists this ribosomal RNA (1405 nucleotides) under Pediococcus acidilactici. Its description in RNAcentral is "16S ribosomal RNA". It matches the Rfam family "Bacterial small subunit ribosomal RNA". Lineage: Bacteria; Bacillati; Bacillota; Bacilli; Lactobacillales; Lactobacillaceae. The record is from RNAcentral.
GAGUGGCGGACGGGUGAGUAACACGUGGGUAACCUGCCCAGAAGCAGGGGAUAACACCUGGAAACAGAUGCUAAUACCGUAUAACAGAGAAAACCGCCUGGUUUUCUUUUAAAAGAUGGCUCUGCUAUCACUUCUGGAUGGACCCGCGGCGCAUUAGCUAGUUGGUGAGGUAACGGCUCACCAAGGCGAUGAUGCGUAGCCGACCUGAGAGGGUAAUCGGCCACAUUGGGACUGAGACACGGCCCAGACUCCUACGGGAGGCAGCAGUAGGGAAUCUUCCACAAUGGACGCAAGUCUGAUGGAGCAACGCCGCGUGAGUGAAGAAGGGUUUCGGCUCGUAAAGCUCUGUUGUUAAAGAAGAACGUGGGUGAGAGUAACUGUUCACCCAGUGACGGUAUUUAACCAGAAAGCCACGGCUAACUACGUGCCAGCAGCCGCGGUAAUACGUAGGUGGCAAGCGUUAUCCGGAUUUAUUGGGCGUAAAGCGAGCGCAGGCGGUCUUUUAAGUCUAAUGUGAAAGCCUUCGGCUCAACCGAAGAAGUGCAUUGGAAACUGGGAGACUUGAGUGCAGAAGAGGACAGUGGAACUCCAUGUGUAGCGGUGAAAUGCGUAGAUAUAUGGAAGAACACCAGUGGCGAAGGCGGCUGUCUGGUCUGUAACUGACGCUGAGGCUCGAAAGCAUGGGUAGCGAACAGGAUUAGAUACCCUGGUAGUCCAUGCCGUAAACGAUGAUUACUAAGUGUUGGAGGGUUUCCGCCCUUCAGUGCUGCAGCUAACGCAUUAAGUAAUCCGCCUGGGGAGUACGACCGCAAGGUUGAAACUCAAAAGAAUUGACGGGGGCCCGCACAAGCGGUGGAGCAUGUGGUUUAAUUCGAAGCUACGCGAAGAACCUUACCAGGUCUUGACAUCUUCUGCCAACCUAAGAGAUUAGGCGUUCCCUUCGGGGACAGAAUGACAGGUGGUGCAUGGUUGUCGUCAGCUCGUGUCGUGAGAUGUUGGGUUAAGUCCCGCAACGAGCGCAACCCUUAUUACUAGUUGCCAGCAUUCAGUUGGGCACUCUAGUGAGACUGCCGGUGACAAACCGGAGGAAGGUGGGGACGACGUCAAAUCAUCAUGCCCCUUAUGACCUGGGCUACACACGUGCUACAAUGGAUGGUACAACGAGUCGCGAAACCGCGAGGUUUAGCUAAUCUCUUAAAACCAUUCUCAGUUCGGACUGUAGGCUGCAACUCGCCUACACGAAGUCGGAAUCGCUAGUAAUCGCGGAUCAGCAUGCCGCGGUGAAUACGUUCCCGGGCCUUGUACACACCGCCCGUCACACCAUGAGAGUUUGUAACACCCAAAGCCGGUGGGGUAACCUUUUAGGAGCUAGCCGUCUAAGGUGGGACAGAUGAUUAGGGUGAAG